UUCCGUCGUUAAAAGUCAAUAACGACGAACAGUUCACCCGUCGUGACCCGUCAUAAAAGCUUCCUUCGUUAAAACCAGUUACGACCAAAAUGAAUCGCCAGUCGUUAUAGAUUACUCACGACCACAUCGUUUGUCGUCGUUAUUUAGUUACAUUAGUAACCACUCCAUUUUACAAUAACGACCAAUUUUACCGUCGUAAUAGAGAUUACAAAAACUACAUUUAUCCUAUUCAUAGUGUUAAUAACGACCAAAAAUUUUUCGGCGUUAAAAGCAUUUCACAAAUAGAAGAAGAUAAUAUAACAACGACUGUUCUUCCCGUCGUUAAUGAUACAAAUAUUGCAUUUCAUCAUAAUUUAUUUUUGACCAUUUAUUAUUUUUAACCAUGCACAUAAUUACUUUGCAUACACAAUGAUAUAAAUACAUACACACACGCACACAUAUAUAUAAACAAACUUACAUCAAAUCCACAAUUUGUAAACAUGUAAUAAAACUUCAUUAACAAUAAAAGUACUUAGCAUCUAUAAUAUUCAUAUUUUUUCCAAAACAUUCAUCUAGUAGAUAUAGUUUCCAUCACAACAUAGUUUUCAUCGCACCAUUACAUAUAUAGUCAACAUUUACUAAAAAAUGAAACAAAGUACUGAAAUCAACGACUAUCACCAUGUUUCCAAAAAAGGUUAGCUUAAAAAUAAAAAAAAAGAGCUUGCAAUUCAUCGUCUUUUCUUGUUCCAAAAAUCACCAUGAGCUACCUACAAAAGAAACAAGGAAAAACAAUGUAAAAAUAAGUCCUGCAAAUAGCUAGAUAGCAAAAUAAUUAAGCAAAUAAACAACUCAUAAAAUAUAAAACAACUUUUGUGUCACGCCCCGGGACCGGCGGAGGCCCUCCCGGUAGCGUGCCCAGACCCGCCAUAUGUCUACACAUAUAAGGCGUCUACAAGAAAAGCGGAAGUAAAAGCAAGGGAUGGAACAAAUAAAAGAAGUGAAAUAACAAGCAACUAAUGAUAUCAGAGCGAGUAAAGUUCUAACAUCUAUACUAAUAGUAAUAGAACAUAACUAGUACAUAAAAGUAGGCAUAAGUUAUACAAUAUCAGACUCUAAUACAAAAAUGGUGGUCUCUAGUACACUGGUAAAACCCUCAACCUCUCCAAAAUAAAGUACAACGAGAGGUAGACCACCUAGCAAGUCGUCCUCGUAGGAAGCUAGCUCGAAGCAACUCCCUUCCCGCGGUCCCUGGCCUCACCCUGAGUGGAAGGCUCUGAAAAACAUCGAGAAAAAGAGGGCGUGAGAACUAUAAUUUAUAGUUCCCAGUGGGAAAUUACUGACCUCAGCUCAGUGCACCACUAGGCCCAAAGAAAAGGGUAAGUCUAACAAUAAGAGUAACAAGUAAAUUGCAUAUUAGAAAGCAUAAUAAUUAGGAUGCUAAGCUACAACUUGCAAUUAAACAUGGCAUUCCUAAUGCGACUUUAUCUUGUCAUGGAUAUAUAUAUAUUCACAAGUAAUAUCAUGCUUUACUUUAUACAGAUAUGAAAGUAAUACUUGGUCGUGACUAUAAUGCAUAUAAGGAUGCAAUAAACAACAUCUCCUAGCAUACUACAUGUAUGUAUGAAUACCCAAAUGUCCACAACUAUGCUAGAAGGAAGUCCAAGUGAUCCUACUACUACUCUCAGACUAGUAGUGUUCAUAAUAAACCCAACACCGUGUCGAUUUCCAUUUCCAAAUAAGGACCUACCAAAGGUAGUCCAGCUUGUGCCGCCUAAGUGCCUGUGGUAGCCCAACAUCCCUACUCUUGGGAUGUGUCUGUCCCACUCGACCCCGUAGGCUUCUCAAUACCGCACGAGCGAACAUAGGUCGCGUAGGCUAACUCCGGAGUGCCGGCUUGUAGGGAGCGACCCUCACAAGCAUGUGCGAAUGAGCACAAAUGGCAAACAAGCAAGGUCACUGUCUCAAAUACUCUAUCCGCAUGUCUCUAACAUGGCAAGGUCACUAGCAUCCCAAAGAUCUAGCCCAAUGUCUCUAAGUGAUGUCCCAACACUCACUUGCUUAGUGCCUCUUUAUGACACUUAAGCAUCACACCGAUCAAGCUCGAUUUUUGUUCUAUGUUUCAUUUAAACAUUAAUACUAAUGACUACUAUAGCCCGGGCCCAAUGCCUCUUUAUGACAUUGGCCCAAUACUCAAAUAGUCCAAUUUCUCAAGCCCUCUCUAGGCUUCUAAAAUUCCUAAUGUCACAAUUGGCAUAUAGGUUAAAGGCAUGAAGGCAAGAUUCAUUUCCACAAUAGGAAUCAUGAUCCACAAUCCUAACUAGAAUGCUAAGUCUCACAUGCAUGCACUCUAUCGCAUAGGGGUCUAAAAUUUUACCAUACAUAAUAUAUGCAUGUUAAGCAUUCUAAAAUUCAUAUUAAAUACAUUUAACAUGGAAAUGCAUGAAUUUCUAUUUUUUAAGACAUAUUUGCCAAAUAUGAGCAUUUCUCAUAUCAUAGGCUAGGUCAAACCCACCGAACCGUCGCGUGCUCCUUCGAUUCGCCGAACGGAGUUGUCCACGAGCCUCAAAGUACCCUAAAAGUAAUCAGCGAAGAGAUACGAGGGCAUUACGACCAACCAUAAGAUCAAACAUUAACCUAGAAGCAAAAAGGGCCAAAACUCACCUCAAGAGAAGAAAUCUCUUCCAAAGCUCCAAAAGAGAGCUAGAACCCUUCCAAUCCAAGCCCAAGGAAGGUUCUAAACCAACUAAUUUGGGUCCAAAAGCCCUAGAUCAAAAAUGCCCAAAAAUAAGCCCUAAGUAUCAAAUCUAGGGUUUCAUCUCAAAAACUUAGCAAAACAAGAUCUAGAGGAGGGAAAUGAGCAACCAACCUCCUUAGAAGCUCCAAUCCUAGCUCCAAGGGUGAAGAUCUCCUCCUAUGCAAGCUCCAAGACCAAGCUCCAAGCACCAAGGAAGAAGAGAGGGUGAGGAAGAUGCUCCAAGUCCUCUAAAAGCUCUCAAUCUUCUUCUUCUUCCUUCCUUCUUCUCCUUCUCCUUCUUCUUCUUCUCCUCUACCAAGGGUGUGGAGAGAGUUGAGAGAAGAGAAAUGAGGAGAAGAGAGGGUGGAGGGGUCAUAUAGACCCUCUAUUGUAACAAAAUCCCAAGAGGCCCCUCAAAAAUCCAAUAUUGCAACAGCCCGGUCUGGGCAGUUUUCGCCCAGAGGGACCGGUCUCUCCCCAGCAGGGACCGGUCUCUCGCUGCGAACCCGAAAAACCAGCGUUCGGGAACCGGUCUCUCCCUGCGCGGGACCGGUCUCUCAUUGCGAAGACGCGCUCGGGGACCGGUCUCGCCCGCCAGGGACCGGUUGCCUCAGGGCUGCCGCAGCACUGCUCACUGGGGGACCGGUCUCUCCUUCCAGGGACCGGUCCCCGAGAGUAAAAACUCUCAGGACUUGUCCAGAAUUUCAGUUUUCGAACUUUUUGGGUCGGAAAACAUUCUACAACCAUCCACCAAGAGUGGAAAAGCUCGAAAUACAUCCAAACACUCGAACCUCGCAAUUUGCAAAGGUCCAGUGCGUUACAUUUUGUAUACCAAUAUAAACAUGCAGAAAUUAUACAAAUUAAUCUAAAUAGG
This 3587-nucleotide long non-coding RNA is filed under the name Ananas comosus (pineapple). Its description in RNAcentral is "long non-coding RNA (ACOM_LNC007039)". Lineage: Eukaryota; Viridiplantae; Streptophyta; Magnoliopsida; Poales; Bromeliaceae. The record is from RNAcentral.